CCUGGUGGCUCAGGCGGUAAAGCGUCUGCCUGCAAUGCGGGAGACCCGGGUUCGAUUCCUGGGUCAGGA
RNAcentral lists this transfer RNA (69 nucleotides) under Capra hircus (goat). It matches the Rfam family "tRNA". From Rfam's summary of the family: Transfer RNA (tRNA) molecules are approximately 80 nucleotides in length. The record is from Rfam by way of RNAcentral. RNAcentral also lists the same sequence under 4 other names. Lineage: Eukaryota; Metazoa; Chordata; Mammalia; Artiodactyla; Bovidae.